CAGUAGCCACGGUAAUACGUAGGGUGCGAGCGUUAAUCGGAAUUACUGGGCGUAAAGCGUGCGCAGGCGGUUGUGUAAGACAGGUGUGAAAUCCCCGGGCUUAACCUGGGAACUGAGCUUGUGACUGCACAGCUAGAGUAUGGCAGAGGGGGGUGGAAUUCCACGUGUAGCAGUGAAAUGCGUAGAGAUGUGGAGGAACACCGAUGGCGAAGGCAGCCCCCUGGGCCAAUACUGACGCUCAUGCACGAGAGCGUGGGGAGCGAACAGGAUUAGAUACCCCCGUAGUCCCUGUCUCUUAUAA
RNAcentral lists this ribosomal RNA (301 nucleotides) under uncultured bacterium. RNAcentral's name for it is "partial 16S ribosomal RNA". It matches the Rfam family "Bacterial small subunit ribosomal RNA", at positions 509 to 809 of the family's 1533-position model. The record is from RNAcentral.